Molecule: ribosomal RNA, 497 nt
Filed under: uncultured bacterium
Lineage: Bacteria
Description: partial 16S ribosomal RNA
Rfam family: Bacterial small subunit ribosomal RNA
Source: RNAcentral
GACGAACGCUGGCGGCGUGCCUAAUACAUGCAAGUUGAGCGCUGAAGGUUGGUACUUGUACCGACUGGAUGAGCAGCGAACGGGUGAGUAACGCGUGGGGAAUCUGCCUUUGAGCGGGGGACAACAUUUGGAAACGAAUGCUAAUACCGCAUAAAAACUUUAAACACAAGUUUUAAGUUUGAAAGAUGCAAUUGCAUCACUCAAAGAUGAUCCCGCGUUGUAUUAGCUAGUUGGUGAGGUAAAGGCUCACCAAGGCGAUGAUACAUAGCCGACCUGAGAGGGUGAUCGGCCACAUUGGGACUGAGACACGGCCCAAACUUCUACGGGAGGCAGCAGUAGGGAAUCUUCGGCAAUGGACGAAAGUCUGACCGAGCAGCGCCGCGUGAGUGAAGAAGGUUUUCGGAUCGUAAAACUCUGUUGGUAGAGAAGAACGUUGGUGAGAGCGGAAAGCUCAUCAAGUGACGGUAACUACACAGAAAGGGACGGCUAACUACGUG